This 312-nucleotide ribosomal RNA is filed under the name Bacillus paranthracis. RNAcentral's name for it is "bacterial SSU rRNA". It matches the Rfam family "Bacterial small subunit ribosomal RNA", at positions 1 to 300 of the family's 1533-position model. The record is from RNAcentral. Lineage: Bacteria; Bacillati; Bacillota; Bacilli; Caryophanales; Bacillaceae.
UUUAUUGGAGAGUUUGAUCCUGGCUCAGGAUGAACGCUGGCGGCGUGCCUAAUACAUGCAAGUCGAGCGAAUGGAUUAAGAGCUUGCUCUUAUGAAGUUAGCGGCGGACGGGUGAGUAACACGUGGGUAACCUGCCUAUAAGACUGGGAUAACUCCGGGAAACCGGGGCUAAUACCGGAUAACAUUUUGAACCGCAUGGUUCGAAAUUGAAAGGCGGCUUCGGCUGGCACUUAUGGAUGGACCCGCGUCGCAUUAGCUAGUUGGGGAGGUAACGGCUAAAACAGACAACAAUGCGUAACCAACACGAGAGGG